Molecule: ribosomal RNA, 253 nt
Filed under: uncultured bacterium
Lineage: Bacteria
Description: partial 16S ribosomal RNA
Rfam family: Bacterial small subunit ribosomal RNA
Source: RNAcentral
UACGUAGGCAGCAAGCGUUGUUCGGAAUUACUGGGCGUAAAGAGUGUGUAGGCGGUGCUCUAAGUCUGUUGUGAAAUCUCCCGGCUUAACCGGGAGGGUGCGUCGGAAACUGGAGUGCUUGAGGGUAGGAGAGGAACGCGGAAUUCCAGGUGUAGCGGUGAAAUGCGUAGAUAUCUGGAGGAACACCGGUGGCGAAGGCGGCGUUCUGGACUGCAACUGACACUGAGGAACGAAAGCCAGGGGAGCAAACGGG